Molecule: non-coding RNA, 76 nt
Organism: Myotis davidii
Lineage: Eukaryota; Metazoa; Chordata; Mammalia; Chiroptera; Vespertilionidae
Source: Rfam
GGCGGUUCUCAGGUGAUGCACCCUGGAAUGGGGCUCUCUCCUCUCUGGUUCCGGAGUGUGUCACCCAAGGACUACC